RNAcentral lists this ribosomal RNA (515 nucleotides) under uncultured bacterium. RNAcentral's name for it is "bacterial SSU rRNA". It matches the Rfam family "Bacterial small subunit ribosomal RNA", at positions 8 to 509 of the family's 1533-position model. The record is from RNAcentral.
AGAGUUUGAUCCUGGCUCAGGGAUGAACGCUAGGUUACAGGCUUAACACAUGCAAGUCGAGGGGAAACGGCAGUCUAGCUUGCUAGACCGGACGUCGACCGGCGAAUGGGUGAGUAACGCGUAUCCAACCUUCCGCGAAGUACGGAAUAGCCUUGCGAAAGUAAGAUUAAUGCCGUAUGUGGUGUUUAGAAGACAUCUGAAGAACACUAAAGAUUUAUCGCUUCGCGAUGGGGAUGCGUCUGAUUAGGUUGUUGGCGGGGCAACGGCCCACCAAGCCCACGAUCAGUAGGGGUUCUGAGAGGAAGGUCCCCCACAUUGGAACUGAGACACGGUCCAAACUCCUACGGGAGGCAGCAGUGAGGAAUAUUGGUCAAUGGGCGAGAGCCUGAACCAGCCAAGUAGCGUGCGGGAUGAAGGCCCUAUGGGUUGUAAACCGCUUUUAUACAGGGAUAAAGUCGGGGACGCGUUCCCCGUUUGCAGGUACUGUAUGAAUAAGGACCGGCUAAUUCCGUGCC